GUUCAAUUAGAUUGUAAUCGACUCUCAUGGAAAACAAGUUAUAUUAUGUAUUCCUAAUAGAAUAAGCCAGUUGAUCAAUCACAACUAUCCAUCUAUGGUGAUUGUGUAGGUAAUCACAAGUAUCCCACCAUACACAUACAUAUGGCCAAUGGCUAUGAUUGAUAACCAGGUCUCUUAAUUUUUAGUGCCAAAUUGGAGAGGAUCCAAAGUUGUAGAAUUUUCAUCCGAACACGGC
RNAcentral lists this long non-coding RNA (235 nucleotides) under Elaeis guineensis (African oil palm). Its description in RNAcentral is "long non-coding RNA (EGUI_LNC017443)". Lineage: Eukaryota; Viridiplantae; Streptophyta; Magnoliopsida; Arecales; Arecaceae. The record is from RNAcentral.